AGUGAACGCUGGCGGCGUGCCUAAUACAUGCAAGUCGAACGCGAAAGUCCUUCGGGAUGAGUAAAGUGGCGCACGGGUGAGUAAUACAUGGGAACAUGCCCUUGGAUGGGGAAUAACGUUUGGAAACGAACGCUAAUACCGCAUAAUCUCGCGAGAGUAAAGGUGGCGCCGCAAGGGCUACCGUCCAAGGAUUGGCCCAUGUCCCAUUAGCUAGUUGGCGGGGUAAUGGCCCACCAAGGCAACGAUGGGUAACUGGUCUGAGAGGAUGAUCAGUCACACUGGAACUGAGACACGGUCCAGACUCCUACGGGAGGCAGCAGUAGGGAAUAUUGCACAAUGGGGGAAACCCUGAUGCAGCAACGCCGCGUGAGUGAAGAAGGCCCUUGGGUUGUAAAGCUCUUUAGCGUGGGAAGAAGGUAGAUAUGGUGAAUAAUCAUGUUUGCUGACGGUACCACGAGAAUAAGCACCGGCUAAUUUCGUGCCAGCAGCCGCAGUAA
RNAcentral lists this ribosomal RNA (497 nucleotides) under uncultured bacterium. RNAcentral's name for it is "partial 16S ribosomal RNA". It matches the Rfam family "Bacterial small subunit ribosomal RNA", at positions 29 to 523 of the family's 1533-position model. The record is from RNAcentral.